This 387-nucleotide long non-coding RNA is filed under the name Ananas comosus (pineapple). RNAcentral describes it as "long non-coding RNA (ACOM_LNC023730)". The record is from RNAcentral. Lineage: Eukaryota; Viridiplantae; Streptophyta; Magnoliopsida; Poales; Bromeliaceae.
UGCUAUGUUUUAAAAUCAAGACAAAUGAGUUCAAUUAGACUAGUUGGAUCGUAAACCAGUCCUUAGUCUAGAAUAAUGAAAAACUCGUUGAACUAGUAUGUUCAAUGACUGAACUACUGGUAAGUUAAAAACUUAAAUCAGUAAUAUAUAUUUUUGACUUAUUGCUAAAUUCAAAAUUUUGAAACGAUACUGAUAAACUAAUGAUUUGGAACUCUCACAUGAAGUUUCAUAUCUGAUGUGAUUCUGAAUUCUUUUCGUUUUGUUAAGUCAUUGGAUCAAUUCUCACAGUAAAUGUUAAUAUUUUAAUACCUAAUCUUACAAUUUCAUGGGUUAAUUCUCCGUCCGUAAGUGGAGUGUUAAGAUUAUUUCUAAUUUAUUUUCAUUAUG